AACUUCCCCAGCUUCAGAUUUCUGGAUCGACAAUUGAACCAUGGGUAUUUUCACCCUGAUUUUCUGCAGAUUUAACAUAUCCCAACUUAAAUCUCGUACCUGGAGUCCAUUACUUUUCCACUACUCAAAAAGACGCAUAUCAUCCAAGCUUUUGCAUCUCGUAUGGCAAAUAACACUUAUCUCGACAAGUCAUAGAGUUGACAAGCACCCUUACAUAGCAGAUGACCUUAGUGAAUCAGCUUUUGUAGCGCAUCGAGAUGUAGUGUGCCCCAUACAAGGUGUCCUGAAAUAGGACAAAGUCAAACGACGACUUUUUCUAGCAAUCCUGGCAACCCACCUCUCGACCAGCCAUGAUCCGAGCGUUUUAGCGGUGUACACUCCUGCCUGGGUUCCCGAGAUAGCAUAUACUCUCAUCUUAGUGCGUGGAGGAGCGUACACUCCAAGUUAGGCUCCCACGGACAAAUGCAUUCACGGUU
Molecule: long non-coding RNA, 476 nt
Filed under: Malus domestica (apple)
Lineage: Eukaryota; Viridiplantae; Streptophyta; Magnoliopsida; Rosales; Rosaceae
Description: long non-coding RNA (MDOM_LNC014282)
Source: RNAcentral